CCUCUCUCUCUCUCUCUCUUUUCCUCCCUCCCUACCUCUCUUACACACACAGAUAAGCAAGUCCUGCAAGACCCACAUUCUUUUUGCUCUUUCAGGCCUUUUCAGGCGGUUCACAGGUAUGUUCUUUCUUCAUUUCUCUGUCAACCCUCGAGUGCUUUUCCAUGCCAGUGGUCUAAUAAAUAAAGUGGCCAAAUGGGCUUUGAGUCUUUUGAUGUUAAGCAAAAAUUAUCUGACACGACGUCUGUCCAAUGUUGGGACAUUAAGAUAUCCAUGAAUUGUAAGGUGGAGUGGAUAAUGGAGAGAGAGCAUAAUGAAGAUCUGGUAAAAGAUGAACUCUAGGAGAUUUUGUUUUUUAACAAAAAGGUGAAUGAAUUGGGAAGCUGUCAUCCUACCCACCUACCUAUCACGUUUUCAUGAUAUAUUAUCAUCGUUCUAUAGCAACUUUUGAUGGGGAAAAGAAAUACCACAGCCAGUUUGGGCCCUUUUGAUCAUUUAAGUAAAAGAUGUAUUUUAUGUCCUAUAUGCCACUAAUGACCUGGUCCGCACCAGGCACUAUAGGAGGAUAAAACAUGGGCAUCCAAUCAACAAGUUUGGACUCAUUUUUUCCACGCCACAUAUUCCUUCCACCUAAUCAUAAGCUAUGCAAUUAGAGCUUCUCCCUCUUCUGUUACAUAGAGUAAAACUGAUAUGUCUCUUGUGAAGUAGUUUAAAUACAAUUUUCUCAUCUUUGAUUUAUCCAUCUCAAUUAAACAUUAGACAGCUAUGUUCUGAAUUCUUCAGUUGUUAAGUUCUUAAUUAUAUUGCUUAUAAUUUUCCAGCCAGAAGUAGGGAAAAAUGGCUCAAAUCUUGGCACCCUCUUCGCAAUGGUAGAUGAGAAUACCAAAAAACUCAGCGCCUGCAAGUCCCAUGACAGCAGAGAUGUGGAGUUCUCUACUGUUGAAGCAGAACAAGAAAGGAACAGCAAAGAACACUGCCAGAUUUAGAGUGUUU
RNAcentral lists this unclassified non-coding RNA (990 nucleotides) under Hevea brasiliensis (rubber tree). The record is from RNAcentral. Lineage: Eukaryota; Viridiplantae; Streptophyta; Magnoliopsida; Malpighiales; Euphorbiaceae.